RNAcentral lists this long non-coding RNA (1181 nucleotides) under Heterocephalus glaber (naked mole-rat). RNAcentral describes it as "lncRNA (ENSHGLG00100037729.1)". Lineage: Eukaryota; Metazoa; Chordata; Mammalia; Rodentia; Bathyergidae. The record is from RNAcentral.
GUGUGGGUGUGGGUGUGUGUGGGUGUGUGUUUUGUUUAUCAGAAGAAAGAGGAUGUAGGUUUGAAAAGUCCAAAAACCUUGGCAUGGAACGAACAGAGGUCUGUCUUUGCAAUGCUCUUUCAUAAAGAUUGUUUAUUUUUCUCAGUUCAGAUUCUGCAGCAUCUAAAUAAUAUUCACUCGGUGGUUCAAAAUUGCUAGAGCAGAAGGUUCCAGAGUAGGGUGUUGACUGUGUGGGGCGGGUCUUGAAAAGGCACCCAUUAUACGGCGCACUAAGCCACAGUCAUGCUGAAGGGAGGCCAAAAGGGUUUUACAUUAAGAUGGGUGUUCCCCCUUUUGAGCUGGAGGGUGAAGGGCAGGCUGGAGACCAGCAAGAUGAUUCUGUUGAAUCUCGAGAGUUCUGGUUUAAUUUCAUUGAAUGAAAAUCCUAAAUGCAUUCUGUUAAUGCCCAAGUAGGCACUUUGAUGUUUUCUUUUCAAAGGUAAAUGUUAUGUUCUACAUCUGUUUUCUUUCUGAAUUCACAAAUGCACUUAACAUUUAAAUUUAAGGAAAGGCUUCCUGAAAGUCCAGUGAUGAAAUUCUCAUUUGAAGUAGUCUCUUGGAUUCCUUCGUAUAAAUCCAAAAGAUUACAUGAACUGCUCGCUGAAAGAAACCAUAGCUACGAUGUGGGAAGGUUCCUACAGUGUCAAUAAGUCUCAAUCGUUUGCAUAUGCAAAGGAUAACCUUAAACUUGAGUUUGACAUUUCACAUUGCGUCUCAAAAACAUGCAGCCUUUUUGUUCAAAGAACCUCGCUGUUUCCGAGUGGGUGGGCGUAUACUUAGAGCCGGAGCUGUUGGUCUUGCUCCCCUUAAGGUUGACACAAGCAAUGGCGACUCGCUGCCACACCGGGGCAGCCUCUCCUCGGCUGGGGACCGGGCCAGGCGGAUCACUCCCGGGAGCUGACAAUGUAGCCAAGUCCGACUUGCUGGGGCUGCCAAGAAUUUUAAAGGGAUCUAGAAACGUCCAUCUUUCUCCCCUUUUAACAAUUACAGCGAGCUCUAAGCUCUGGGUGAAAAAGCCUACGGGAAGGAAAAAACAUAGGGUGUUUUUGUUGUUCUUUGCAAAAUGUCUUCACCGCUCCCAAAGGUCCCGCGCGCUCUCCUCGAGCAGGGGGGAGGCCGGGCGUGGAGAGGGUCAGCUGGCA